CAAAAUAUAGCUAAAAUACAGCACCUUGCCUUACACCAAGAAGAUACUUGUUAAAUUCAAGUUAUUUUGA
RNAcentral lists this transfer RNA (70 nucleotides) under Hynobius chinensis (Chinese salamander). RNAcentral describes it as "tRNA-Val". The record is from RNAcentral. Lineage: Eukaryota; Metazoa; Chordata; Amphibia; Caudata; Hynobiidae.